RNAcentral lists this long non-coding RNA (415 nucleotides) under Taeniopygia guttata (zebra finch). RNAcentral's name for it is "lncRNA (ENSTGUG00000029545.1)". The record is from RNAcentral. Lineage: Eukaryota; Metazoa; Chordata; Aves; Passeriformes; Estrildidae.
CACCCCGCGUCACGCUGGCCGCAGGGAUCACGCCACAGAGGUCGGAGGGGACACCCCACAGAGACACGGGUUGGAGAGGACACCCCACGGCCACACAGGUCGGAGGGGACAUCCCACAGCUGGUUGUGCUGCCAGAAGGAGAAGUUGCUGAAUUACGCCCUCGAGACUCAGAGAAGUUACCAGGGAAGAACCAUUUGUUUACCUUACAUUGAAAUCAGCCAUAAAAUCAGAAUCUUCCAGAAUCCAGAUUGACAACAUGAACAAAACAAGGGGACAUUGGACAAGUGUUGCAGACAAAUGCGUUCAGUGUUACAGGUUUUGCCUCAUUCUCCCUUCUACUCCUUGCAGCAAACAGAAGGAACAUAGAAAUACAACCAAGGGAGAAGUUUGUUGGGAGCAUCACAAAGAUAGCUGA